Molecule: ribosomal RNA, 497 nt
Filed under: uncultured bacterium
Lineage: Bacteria
Description: partial 16S ribosomal RNA
Rfam family: Bacterial small subunit ribosomal RNA
Source: RNAcentral
GAUGAACGCUGGCGGCGUGCCUAAUACAUGCAAGUCGAGCGAACGGACGAGAAGCUUGCUUCUCUGAUGUUAGCGGCGGACGGGUGAGUAACACGUGGAUACCCUACCUUUAAGACUGGGAUAACUUCGGGAAACCGGAGCUAAUACCGGAUAAUAUUUUGAACCGCAUGGUUCAACAGUGAAAGACGGUCUUGCUGUCACUUAUAGAUGGUUCCGCGCUGCAUUAGCUAGUUGGUAAGGUAACGGCUUACCAAGGCAACGAUGCAUAGCCGACCUGAGAGGAUGAUCGGCCACACUGGAACUGAGACACGGUCCAGACUCCUACGGGAGGCAGCAGUAGGGAAUCUUCCGCAAUGGGCGAAAGCCUGACGGAGCAACGCCGCGUGAGUGAUGAAGGUCUUCGGAUCGUAAAGCUCUGUUAUUAGGGAAGAACAGAUGUGUAAGUAACUGUGCACAUCUUGACGGUACCUAAUCAGAAAGCCACGGCUAACUACGUG